UGAAAGCGCUGGGCUGCUUAUAGGACCACCAGUCCUACAGGGGAUACCAGCACCAAGAAAUAACAGCAUUUGUGGUUAUGCCACUCUACUGCUCAUGCUCUGAGAGGGUGUAUUACCCUUCAGAUAAACACAAGUUGUCUGCCACGCGGCACGGUGCAUGCUGAGGGGCUAUAUCAUCAUCCGCCUGAGUCACUGCUCUGCUGCGCAUGCUCUAAACAUGGCUCGGAUCCUGCGCUCCACAAGCGUAGAAGAAGCAGACCAAAAAAACCCCAACAGUAUGAGUACGGAAGACCUGAAAAAUACUACAAGCAACUUAAUCUAAUUUACACUUAUCUAAAUUCCACCCAACAAUGGCAGAAUACAAAUUAUUUUCAAGAACGCAUAAAAAUCCACUACAGUGGAGAGUUCCUGAACCACAAAUAUAAAACAGAUCUCAUCAAAUUUAAAAUUAUUGCAAGUAUACAAAGUAUGUUCUCUUAUUACAAUGGAAUUAAACUAAUAAAAUCAAAAGCAGAAAAAUA
Long non-coding RNA from Artibeus jamaicensis (Jamaican fruit-eating bat), 521 nucleotides. RefSeq lists it as uncharacterized. The record is from RefSeq and is a predicted model, not a curated record. The transcript is spliced from 3 exons. NCBI's taxonomy places the organism in Eukaryota, Metazoa, Chordata, Mammalia, Chiroptera, Phyllostomidae.